This is a long non-coding RNA of Gymnodraco acuticeps, 235 nucleotides long. RefSeq lists it as uncharacterized. The transcript has 3 exons. The record is from RefSeq and is a predicted model, not a curated record. Lineage: Eukaryota; Metazoa; Chordata; Actinopteri; Perciformes; Bathydraconidae.
AAAAGACACAGACCCUCACCCAAAAAAAGAAUGAGGUGUGCUGGAGAUGUUACUGCCCUCACAGAGACGACACAGGUCAACCCAAGACAGGACAUGAGUGACAAUGAAAGAGAAGGUCAGGGUGUGGAGGAGCCUCCAGAUGAGGAGCGCCGGCCUGUGGAGCAGCCUCCCCCAAUGGAAGGUGGACAAGACGAGCGAGAUGAAAGAUUGAGAAAUCAACAAGCACAAAUCGAAU